AGGGCCUCGCGCGAUGCGGUGGGAAGAUAAUAUAAUAAUAAAUUUCUAUAACUAUUAAUAUCAUUUUUUUUCUAUUAUGCAUUAAUGUUUUUAAAUAUUAUUUAUCUCAGUAUUGAAUUAUUAAAAAUUUAAAAAUAAAUUAAAGAAUGAAAUUAAAGUAUAUUUUUUUAAAAAAAUAUUUAAACCUAAUAAGUAAAAUAAAUAAAUCAAUUUAAAUAAAACAAAUGAUCAUUACAGUAUUAAAAAAGAUAAAUAGUA
RNAcentral lists this long non-coding RNA (258 nucleotides) under Ananas comosus (pineapple). RNAcentral's name for it is "long non-coding RNA (ACOM_LNC037423)". The record is from RNAcentral. Lineage: Eukaryota; Viridiplantae; Streptophyta; Magnoliopsida; Poales; Bromeliaceae.